AAACUUUCAACAACGGAUCUCUUGGUUCUGGCAUCGAUGAAGGACGCAGCGAAAUGCGAUAAGUAAUGUGAAUUGCAGAAUUCAGUGAAUCAUCGAAUCUUUGAACGCACAUUGCGCCCGCCAGUAUUCUGGCGGGCAUGCCUGUCCGAGCGUCAU
Molecule: ribosomal RNA, 156 nt
Filed under: Trichoderma asperellum
Lineage: Eukaryota; Fungi; Ascomycota; Sordariomycetes; Hypocreales; Hypocreaceae
Description: 5.8S ribosomal RNA
Rfam family: 5.8S ribosomal RNA
About the family: 5.8S ribosomal RNA (5.8S rRNA) is a component of the large subunit of the eukaryotic ribosome. It is transcribed by RNA polymerase I as part of the 45S precursor that also contains 18S and 28S rRNA.
Source: RNAcentral